RNAcentral lists this ribosomal RNA (374 nucleotides) under uncultured organism. RNAcentral's name for it is "bacterial SSU rRNA". It matches the Rfam family "Bacterial small subunit ribosomal RNA", at positions 526 to 896 of the family's 1533-position model. The record is from RNAcentral.
CAGAGGGUGCGAGCGUUGUUCGGAAUUACUGGGCGUAAAGCGCGCGCAGGCGGUUCUUUAAGUCUACCCGUGAAAUGCCGGAGCUCAACUCCGCGCACGCCGGGGGAUACUGGAGAACUGGAGACAGGUAGAGGCAGGCGGAAUUCCGGGUGUAGCGGUGGAAUGCGUAGAGAUCCGGAGGAACACCAGAGGCGAAGGCGGCCUGCUGGGCCUCGUCUGACGCUGAGGCGCGAAAGCGUGGGGAGCGAACAGGAUUAGAUACCCUGGUAGUCCACGCCGUAAACGAUGGGCACUGGGCGCGGGUGGGAUCGACCCCUUCCGUGCUGUAGCUAACGCGAUAAGUGCCCCGCCUGGGGAGUACGGCCGCAAGGCUG